CCAAUAGCGUAUAUUAAAGUUGUUGCAGUUAAAAAGCUCGUAGUUGAAUUUCGGGAUCAAAGAAUCGGUCAUGCCUUGGUAUGCACUGGUUUUAUUGGUUCUCACCUUCUAAAGAACCAUAAUGUCAUUCAUUUGAUGUUAUGGGGAAUUAGGACUGUUACCUUGAAAAAAUUAGAGUGUUUAAAGCAGGCUCACGCUUGAAUACAUUAGCAUGGAAUAAUGAAAUAGGACGUUUGAUUCUAUUUUGUUGGUUUCUAGGAUCGACGUAAUGAUUAAUAGGGAUAGUUGGGGGCAUUAGUAUUCAAUUGUCAGAGGUGAAAUUCUUGGAUUUAUUGAAGACUAACUACUGCGAAAGCAUUUGCCAAGGAUGUUUUCAUUAAUCAAGAACGAAAGUUAGGGGAUCGAAGACGAUCAGAUACCGUCGUAGUCUUAACCAUAAACUAUGCCGACUAGGGAUCGGAUGAUGUUAAUUUUUUAAUGACUCAUUCGGCGCCUUACG
This 499-nucleotide ribosomal RNA is filed under the name uncultured Glomeromycotina. Its description in RNAcentral is "partial small subunit ribosomal RNA". It matches the Rfam family "Eukaryotic small subunit ribosomal RNA", at positions 591 to 1092 of the family's 1831-position model. The record is from RNAcentral. Lineage: Eukaryota; Fungi; Glomeromycota.